Molecule: ribosomal RNA, 831 nt
Filed under: Sarocladium kiliense
Lineage: Eukaryota; Fungi; Ascomycota; Sordariomycetes; Hypocreales; Sarocladiaceae
Description: eukaryotic LSU rRNA
Rfam family: Eukaryotic large subunit ribosomal RNA
Source: RNAcentral
AUUGCCUCAGUAACGGCGAGUGAAGCGGCAACAGCUCAAAUUUGAAAUCUGGCCGCAAGGUCCGAGUUGUAAUUUGUAGAGGAUGCUUUUGGCGAGGUGCCUUCCGAGUUCCCUGGAACGGGACGCCAUAGAGGGUGAGAGCCCCGUACGGUAGGACACCAAGCCUCUGUAAAGCUCCUUCGACGAGUCGAGUAGUUUGGGAAUGCUGCUCUAAAUGGGAGGUGUACGUCUUCUAAAGCUAAAUACCGGCCAGAGACCGAUAGCGCACAAGUAGAGUGAUCGAAAGAUGAAAAGCACUUUGAAAAGAGGGUUAAAAAGUACGUGAAAUUGUUGAAAGGGAAGCAUUCAUGACCAGACUUGGGCUUGGUUGAACAUCCGGCGUUCUCGCCGGUGCACUCUGCCAGUCCAGGCCAGCAUCAGUUUGCCCCGGGGGAUAAAGGCGGCGGGAAUGUGGCUCCCUUCGGGGAGUGUUAUAGCCCGUCGUGUAAUGCCCUGGGGCGGACUGAGGAACGCGCUUCGGCACGGAUGCUGGCGUAAUGGUCAUCAAUGACCCGUCUUGAAACACGGACCAAGGAGUCGUCUUCGUAUGCGAGUGUUCGGGUGUCAAACCCCUACGCGUAAUGAAAGUGAACGUAGGUGAGAGCUUCGGCGCAUCACCGACCGAUCCUGAUGUUCUCGGAUGGAUUUGAGUAAGAGCAUACGGGGCCGGACCCGAAAGAAGGUGAACUAUGCCUGUAUAGGGUGAAGCCAGAGGAAACUCUGGUGGAGGCUCGCAGCGGUUCUGACGUGCAAAUCGAUCGUCAAAUAUGGGCAUGGGGGCGAAAGACUAAU